UUCCUAACCUUACAGAAACUGCAGACCUGCGGGUGUUCCCGGCCUGCCUCCGUGCUCCGGGACUUCACCACCCUCCCUGUCCACCUAAGCACAUUUUCCUCUGGCACUUUUGCAGGCGUCCCCGAGGCUUCCUUCUGCUCCGUUUCUUCUGAACGUGCACUGCUGUUUCUGCUGUUGGCACAGGUGUGGGGAGUCUGGGCCAGGAAGGGGGGCGCUCACUGCCGAGCAGGUGGAGGCCAACGGGGCCCCUGCCUUCCCUUCCUUCCACCUGCCCCGUGUCCCUCUCUUCCCGCCAGCUCCAGCCCGAUCCCAUCACUCUCUGUCUUCUGCAUUGGUUGGCUGGGAGCUGGAAUACUCCGAGGGUUACUGGCCUUUAAAACACCAAGGACAACACCCUCUAACGACAAGCUCACAGCAGACCUGAACCCACACCUCCUGUCUGCCCGGCACCACCACCACGGGCCCAGGAUGGGCAGCUGCGGCUCCCAAAGGGUUUGUUCCGACAUGACUGAGAAGUCAGGGAGUGAUCUCAGCCGUGGUAGGCCCUGCCAGUUCACCUGUGCGUGGCUCCAGCCUCAGGAGACACGAGGCGAAGCCAAGUGGGACAGGCCGGGCGGGCCCGCAACCCUGGGCAUCCGGGGCCUGCCUCCCCUGCCCCUGCGGGCAUCACAGGUGCCCCCGCCUGCCAGGCCCCCUCCCUCUGUGGCCCCAGGUGCCCGCUCUCUGACAGCCCCUCCACGUGCUCUGCAGGUCCCCUUCUGGGCAAAGCACCCGUCACAGGACUCUGCUUCUGACCUUCACUGGGUGUGCGGCUGUGACCUACUUUCAUGAGGUCCCUUGUUUUUUUUGAUGUGUCACCGACAAGGUUUUUGAAUGUCAUGUCUCCGCUCCCACCAGCUCGGGGAGUUUUGCUGCGUGGUUUUGCAGGCCGUGGUACGUUCUGGGACGAACACCUUUCUCCACAUCAGACUCUUUGGGCAGAGCUUCCAGACCCAUCUCCCUCCCGCGAGGCCCGGAGUAGAGACGGCAGUAAAGAAGGCGGACAGAAAGCAGGUCACUGUGUCUGCAGACCCGCCCUGGGAGAGCCUGGCACCUCCUCAGGACCCAGAUGACCCCGAGGCAGCAGGACGGCUCGGUGAUUUACGCGCUGCUUCUUUUCAGAGGACAGUCGUGGUGCCAGACAUCUAGGCCGUGCGGCGAGCAGGCCGCGGCUGGUGGGGCUGACAUGGAACUAACAGUGUGUGCCGGCCAGCCUCCUGACACGUGACAGGUCCUGCCUCAGCAGGAUGGUCUGGGGCCAGGUCUGCCCGGGAGCAGGGGCCGUGCAGCUCACGUGCGGAAUCUGUAAAACCCGAGCCCCAGGGGCUACCGCAGGUCCCGGCACAGCCCCGUCCUGAGCAAGCCCCAGGAGGUCUCCGAGCUGCAGACGGAUGGUGCCUGCGGGUCAUCACUGGGAGGUGGCCUGCAGUGGAGGACAGUGGCCAGAGCACCCAUAGAAGAGCAGCGAGGAGGCCCCUGGAGGGCUGCAGAGAGCGGGUCCCGGGCGUCGGCUGCAAGAAGGGAAGGCAGCUCAGCUUGCCCCCUGCACUCAGCUCUCUCCUUUCUCACUCAAGCCCAAUCCCGUUAAUUCCCCCCUCUCUCUCCAUCUCUCUGUGUCUGUCUCUGUCUCUCUCUCCCCCACCUCCCCUCUCUCUCACACACACAUUGCUCUGGCUAUAUUUCUAAGAUCCUGUAUAAUAUUCUCAAGGAUAUUACACUUGUCACUCC
This 1767-nucleotide long non-coding RNA is filed under the name Capra hircus (goat). RNAcentral's name for it is "lncRNA (ENSCHIG00000008165.1)". The record is from RNAcentral. Lineage: Eukaryota; Metazoa; Chordata; Mammalia; Artiodactyla; Bovidae.